ACCUUUGUGCAGUGGCAGUAUCACAGCCAAUAAGGUUUAUCUGAGGCAUAAUUAUUGGUAACUGAAUACUUUUCCCAGCCUCCGCCCUGAUGACUUGAAAUAUAGUCCGCAUUGGCAAUUUUUGACAGUCUCUAUGGAGA
Molecule: small nuclear RNA, 140 nt
Organism: Otolemur garnettii (small-eared galago)
Lineage: Eukaryota; Metazoa; Chordata; Mammalia; Primates; Galagidae
Gene: U4
Rfam family: U4 spliceosomal RNA
About the family: U4 small nuclear RNA (U4 snRNA) is a component of the major U2-dependent spliceosome.
Source: Ensembl